This 72-nucleotide transfer RNA is filed under the name Mus musculus (house mouse). It matches the Rfam family "tRNA". Rfam says of the family: Transfer RNA (tRNA) molecules are approximately 80 nucleotides in length. Their secondary structure includes four short double-helical elements and three loops (D, anti-codon, and T loops). The record is from Rfam by way of RNAcentral. Lineage: Eukaryota; Metazoa; Chordata; Mammalia; Rodentia; Muridae.
AGAGUUAUGGCUCAGUGGUAGAGUGCUUGUCUGCGAUACAUGAGACUCUAGUCUCUAGUCUCAGCAACUCUA